This 69-nucleotide transfer RNA is filed under the name Typhoptera quadrituberculata. RNAcentral's name for it is "tRNA-Gln". It matches the Rfam family "tRNA". Rfam says of the family: Transfer RNA (tRNA) molecules are approximately 80 nucleotides in length. The record is from RNAcentral. Lineage: Eukaryota; Metazoa; Arthropoda; Insecta; Orthoptera; Tettigoniidae.
UAUAUUUUAGUGUAUGAAGCACGAUAGUUUUUGAUACUUUUAGAAAUAGUUUAAUUCUAUUAAAUAUAU